Molecule: ribosomal RNA, 451 nt
Filed under: uncultured bacterium
Lineage: Bacteria
Description: bacterial SSU rRNA
Rfam family: Bacterial small subunit ribosomal RNA
Source: RNAcentral
GCGAACGCUGGCGGCAGGCCUAACACAUGCAAGUCGAGCGGCCGUAGCAAUACGGCAGCGGCAGACGGGAGAGUAACACGUGGGAACGUGCCUAUCAGUUCGGAACAACCCAGGGAAACUUGGGCUAAUACCGGAUACGCCCUUACGGGGAAAGAUUUAUCGCUGAUAGAGCGGCCCGCGUCUGAUUAGCUAGUUGGUGAGGUAACGGCUCACCAAGGCGACGAUCAGUAGCUGGUCUGAGAGGAUGAUCAGCCUCAUUGGGACUGAGACACGGCCCAAACUCCUACGGGAGGCAGCAGUGGGGAAUAUUGGACAAUGGGCGCAAGCCUGAUCCAGCCAUGCCGCGUGGGUGAUGAAGGCCCUAGGGUUGUAAAGCCCUUUCGGCGGGGAAGAUAAUGACGGUACCCGCAGAAGAAGCCCCGGCUAACUUCGUGCCAGCAGCCGCGGUAAU